Molecule: ribosomal RNA, 440 nt
Filed under: uncultured bacterium
Lineage: Bacteria
Description: partial 16S ribosomal RNA
Rfam family: Bacterial small subunit ribosomal RNA
Source: RNAcentral
CCUACGGGUGGCAGCAGUGGGGGAUAUUGCACAAUGGGGGGAACCCUGAUGCAGCGACGCCGCGUGGGUGAAGAAGCGCCUCGGCGCGUAAAGCCCUGUCAGCAGGGAAGAAAAUGACGGUACCUGAAGAAGAAGCCCCGGCUAACUACGUGACAGCAGCCGCGGCAAUACGUAGGGAGCACGCGUAAUCCGGAUUUACUGGAUGUAAAGGGGGCGCAGAGGGCGAUACAAGACAGGAGUGAAAGCCCGGGGCCCAACCCCGGGAUUGCUCUUGAAACUGCGUGGCUGGAGUGCAGGAGGGGCAGGCGGAAUUCCUGGUGUAGCGGUGAAAUGCGUAGAUAUCAGGAAGAACACCGGUGGCGAAGGCAGCUUGCUGGACUGCAACUGACGUUGAGGCCCGAAAGCGUGGGGAGCAAACAGGAUUAGAUACCCUUGUAGUC